Molecule: unclassified non-coding RNA, 345 nt
Filed under: soil metagenome
Description: partial contains 5.8S ribosomal RNA, internal transcribed spacer 2, and large subunit ribosomal RNA
Rfam family: 5.8S ribosomal RNA (bases 1-121)
Source: RNAcentral
GAUGAAGAACGUAGCGAAAUGCGAUAAGUAAUGCGAAUUGCAGAAUUUCCGUGAGUCAUCGAAUCUUUCAACGCACAUUGCGCCCACUGGUAUUCCGGUGGGCAUGCCUGUUCGAGCGUCAUUGCUGCCCUCAAGCACGGCUUGUGUGUUGGGCCUCCGUCCUCCUCCCGGGGGACGGGCCCGAAAGGCAGCGGCGGCACCGCGUCCGGUCCUCGAGCGUAUGGGGCUUCGUCACCCGCUCUUGUAGGCCCGGCCGGCGCUUGCCGACACAUCAAUCUUUUUUCCAGGUUGACCUCGGAUCAGGUAGGGAUACCCGCUGAACUUAAGCAUAUCAAUAACGGAGGA